GUUUCUUUACAAAUUGUUGGGUUUUAGUUUUGUAGUCUAAUAAUUGAAGUGGUGUUUAAAAUACU
RNAcentral lists this transfer RNA (65 nucleotides) under Obrimoposthia wandeli. RNAcentral describes it as "tRNA-Thr". The record is from RNAcentral. Lineage: Eukaryota; Metazoa; Platyhelminthes; Tricladida; Uteriporidae.